Molecule: ribosomal RNA, 497 nt
Filed under: uncultured bacterium
Lineage: Bacteria
Description: partial 16S ribosomal RNA
Rfam family: Bacterial small subunit ribosomal RNA
Source: RNAcentral
GAUGAACGCUGGCGGCGUGCCUAAUACAUGCAAGUCGAGCGAACAGAUGAGGAGCUUGCUCCUCUGACGUUAGCGGCGGACGGGUGAGUAACACGUGGAUAACCUACCUAUAAGACUGGGAUAACUUCGGGAAACCGGAGCUAAUACCGGAUAAUAUAUUGAACCGCAUGGUUCAAUAGUGAAAGACGGUUUUGCUGUCACUUAUAGAUGGAUCCGCGCCGCAUUAGCUAGUUGGUAAGGUAACGGCUUACCAAGGCGACGAUGCGUAGCCGACCUGAGAGGGUGAUCGGCCACACUGGAACUGAGACACGGUCCAGACUCCUACGGGAGGCAGCAGUAGGGAAUCUUCCGCAAUGGGCGAAAGCUUGACGGAGCAACGCCGCGCGAGUGAUGAAGGUCUUCGGAUCGUAAAACUCUGUUAUUAGGGAAGAACAAAUGUGUAAGUAACUAUGCACGUCUUGACGGUACCUAAUCAGAAAGCCACGGCUAACUACGUG